UACGGAGGAUGCAAGCGUUAUCCGGAUUUAUUGGGUUUAAAGGGUGCGUAGGCGGGCUGUUAAGCGUGAGGUGAAAUGCCACGGCUCAACCGUGGAACUGCCUCGCGAGCUGGCGGUCUAGAAUGCCCCUGCCGUGGGAGGAAUGUGUGGUGUAGCGGUGAAAUGCAUAGAGAUCACACAGAACACCGAUUGCGAAGGCAUCUCACGAAGGGGUGAUUGACGCUGAGGCACGAAAGCGUGGGGGUCAAAC
Molecule: ribosomal RNA, 250 nt
Filed under: uncultured prokaryote
Description: partial 16S ribosomal RNA
Rfam family: Bacterial small subunit ribosomal RNA
Source: RNAcentral